Molecule: small RNA, 337 nt
Filed under: Arabidopsis thaliana (thale cress)
Lineage: Eukaryota; Viridiplantae; Streptophyta; Magnoliopsida; Brassicales; Brassicaceae
Description: ATSL109470
Source: RNAcentral
ACAGAAAAUUAAAAUUUCAUUGAUGGAUUAGAACCUGACAAGACUUGAAUUACAUAAGUUGGCAAGGAAAACAAUCCUUCCAAGUAGCUUUUAAUUCAGAACAAAUUGGCAAAUUACAAAUGACUCUAUUAUGAUCUAUAUAUACAUUUUUGGAGGCGAUUUUUGAAGAUAAUAUUGAAGAUUUGAGCCAUAAUUCAACAAUUAAUUUAAAUGGGUGGUUUUUACCCGGUUUAACUCUGUUCGGAUCCUGGAUAACAUGUUUAAUUCUGUUCUGAUCUUGGAUAACAUUAAUUUUUGGAAAAGUUACCUAAAAACUAAUAAUUAAAAACGAAAAUUA